Sciurus carolinensis (gray squirrel) is the source of this 750-nucleotide long non-coding RNA. RefSeq lists it as uncharacterized. NCBI's taxonomy places the organism in Eukaryota, Metazoa, Chordata, Mammalia, Rodentia, Sciuridae. The transcript has 3 exons. The record is from RefSeq and is a predicted model, not a curated record.
CUGCCCUUGGAGUCUUGCUACAGGCCUGGGUUGAGCCCUGGUUUAGCUGGUCAACUUAGGCAGGGUCACUGGGAGAUGGCCUUGCCCAGUCCUGCUGGUUCUGAGCUCCUCUUCCAUCCCCAUCUCCCUCCAGGGAAGAUCCCUUCAGGACAACAAGCCCUUUGAGUAGGACGGUGCCACCAACUGGUAUUUGACCAUUCGUGUACCACUGGGACCCAAGCGAGUUGGUAUACGUCUGCUGCUGUCUGGAUGCAGAGGGAGGAAGGAACCGAGUGGAGUCCAUGCAGGCCCUGUGCUCUCUAAGAUACUCCUCCCCACACUAUCCCACAGACCUCCCUGGGCCCAGGUCUCUAACUAUGGGUGUCUACACACAUGGGCAGGGCCCCCAGGGAGUGGUGAGGCUGCAGCUUUCCAGGAGAAUUUUUUACUCGAAGUCCCAUGUGAAACAUAUGGAGUGGAGCAUCAGGAGUGCAGUGGGGUGGGUAACCUGGUGCCCCUCAAGGGUGCCAGCCCUCUCCUCUGUCCCGCCUCCAGGGCCCAGGGGCUUGACUGUGAGCUGUGGGGUGGAGGUUAGGGAGGCCCCCAUGUACUGACUCUGUGUUUAGCUUCCCAUCAGCCGGAUGCAGCAGUGGGAGGUCCCCAGGGAGGUUCAGCCUCCCAUUCACCCCUUCCUAGCCGGCAAUGCCAGGACGUGCAGCAGAACUUCAUCCUCUGAGCCCCUCAUGCCUCGCUCCCCUGUUGGGAGUACCA